Pezoporus flaviventris is the source of this 254-nucleotide long non-coding RNA. RefSeq lists it as uncharacterized. The transcript has 2 exons. NCBI's taxonomy places the organism in Eukaryota, Metazoa, Chordata, Aves, Psittaciformes, Psittacidae. The record is from RefSeq and is a predicted model, not a curated record.
AGCACUCAGGGACGUGCAGUGCACGGGUGUAGUUACUCAGUGGAUAUGUGUACGUCCUGUAACAUGAAUUUAGGUAUUUUUCGUCACCACAGAUAUAUAAGGGCUGGAACUUCAUUCAAGGCACAAGAUGAAUGUUGUGCAGUGAAUGAGCAGCUAUUCAAUAUUCUUAUCCUCCUCAUACAAUGUGUCACCCUGUGCCCUAUUUACGACACACCAUCCAUACCCUGUACUGAAUAGAGAACUGUUGAACUCCU